GGGGAAUAUUGCACAAUGGGCGCAAGCCUGAUGCAGCGACGCCGCGUGGGGGAUGACGGCCUUCGGGUUGUAAACUCCUUUCGCCAGGGACGAAGCGAUAGUGACGGUACCUGGAUAAGAAGCACCGGCUAACUACGUGCCAGCAGCCGCGGUAAUACGUAGGGUGCAAGCGUUGUCCGGAAUUACUGGGCGUAAAGAGCUCGUAGGUGGUUUGUCGCGUCGUUUGUGGAAUACCGCAGCUUAACUGUGGGGUUGCAGGCGAUACGGGCAUAACUUGAGUGCUGUAGGGGAGACUGGAAUUCCUGGUGUAGCGGUGGAAUGCGCAGAUAUCAGGAGGAACACCGAUGGCGAAGGCAGGUCUCUGGGCAGUAACUGACGCUGAGGAGCGAAAGCAUGGGUAGCGAACA
This 407-nucleotide ribosomal RNA is filed under the name uncultured Corynebacterium sp. Its description in RNAcentral is "bacterial SSU rRNA". It matches the Rfam family "Bacterial small subunit ribosomal RNA", at positions 356 to 774 of the family's 1533-position model. Lineage: Bacteria; Bacillati; Actinomycetota; Actinomycetes; Mycobacteriales; Corynebacteriaceae. The record is from RNAcentral.